GACGAACGCUGGCGGCGUGCUUAACACAUGCAAGUCGAACGGCAAGGCCCUGCUUUUGUGGGGUGCUCGAGUGGCGAACGGGUGCGUAACACGUGAGUAACCUGCUCUUGACUUUGGGAUAACUUCAGGAAACUGGGGCUAAUACCGGAUAGGAGCUCCUGCUGCAUGGUGGGGGGUGGAAAGUCUCGGCGGUUGGGGAUGGACUCGCGGGUGAUCAGCUUGUUGGUGGGGUAGUGGCAUACCCAGGCAUUGGAUGGUAACCGGCCUGUGAGGGUGACCGGCCACAUUGGGACUACGGUACGGACCAGACUGCUACGGGAGGCAGCAGUGGGGAAUAUUGCACAAUGGGCGGGAGCCUGAUGCAGCAACGCCGCGGGCGGGAUGACGGCCUGCUGGUUGUAAACCGCUUUCGCCUGUGACGAAGCGGGAGUGACGGUAAUGGGUAAAGAAGCACCGGCUAACUACGUG
RNAcentral lists this ribosomal RNA (468 nucleotides) under uncultured bacterium. RNAcentral describes it as "partial 16S ribosomal RNA". It matches the Rfam family "Bacterial small subunit ribosomal RNA", at positions 28 to 507 of the family's 1533-position model. The record is from RNAcentral.